This is a long non-coding RNA of Alexandromys fortis (reed vole), 742 nucleotides long. RefSeq lists it as uncharacterized. The transcript has 2 exons. NCBI's taxonomy places the organism in Eukaryota, Metazoa, Chordata, Mammalia, Rodentia, Cricetidae. The record is from RefSeq and is a predicted model, not a curated record.
AGACAAGAGGAGGGGUCAGGCUUCCUCUCUGUCCCUACCUAGGCUCGUCCCUCCCACUGGACUCACUUUCCUCCUCUUGGUGUCUGAACCACCCUCCCUUGGGCCUGUCUUCCCCAAGGAGACUGGCUGGGGCAAGGGAGAAGGUGUCGAGGUAUUCUCGUGGGCUGGCACCCCAUUGCCAGAGGGAACCCUGAUAUGUGUAGCCUACUCUAAAAUUGCUUUCUUUUUAGAAAGAUUGUGUUUUUUUAUUUAAGAUUUAUUUUAUUUAUUUAUGUGUAUGUGUGCAUGUGUUACCUGCAGGGGGGCAGAAGAGAGCACCAGAUGACCCGAAGCUGGAGUUACAGGCCAGAAGAGGACACCAGACCUCACUACAGAUGGUUGUGAGCCACCAUGUGGUUGCCGGGAAUUGAACUCAGGACCUUUGGAAGAGCAGGCAAUGCUCUUAACCACUGAGCCAUCUCUCCAGCCCCCUCCCACAGCCUUUGAUUGCUCAUUUGUAAAUGGGAAUAGACACCAGCACCUGUGCGCCAGGCUCUGGAGAUGUGAGUGUGUGUUAGGUCUCUCACCUUAAAACUGAACAGGCAGCCAGUGUGUAUUAGUAGCCUUCAUCAUCACCAUAACCACGGUUACUAUGGACACCAUCAUCUUCAUCAUCGCUAUCUUUGCUACAGUCAACCCCAUCCCCAUCACUACCAUGACCUAGAACUGGGAGGUCUUACACCUAAAAUCUCUUUCAGCUCUA